Molecule: ribosomal RNA, 237 nt
Filed under: uncultured bacterium
Lineage: Bacteria
Description: partial 16S ribosomal RNA
Rfam family: Bacterial small subunit ribosomal RNA
Source: RNAcentral
GUAUCAUGGCUCAGGAUGAACGCUAGCGGCAGGCUUAACACAUGCAAGUCGAGGGGCAGCAUAAUGGAUAGCAAUAUCUAUGGUGGCGACCGGCGCACGGGUGCGUAACGCGUAUGCAACCUACCGUUUAACAGGGGGAUAACACUGAGAAAUUGGUACUAAUACCCCAUAAUAUCAUAGAAGGCAUCUUUUAUGGUUGAAAAUUCCGAAUGGUUUAGAGAUGGGCAGUGCGUUGUU